UACGGGGGGAGCAAGCGUUGUUCGGAUUUACUGGGCGUAAAGGGCGCGUAGGCGGUCAUGACAAGUCAGUUGUGAAAUCUCUGGGCUUAACUCAGAACGGUCAACUGAUACUGUCAGACUAGAGUGCAGAAGGGGCAACUGGAAUUCUCGGUGUAGCGGUGAAAUGCGUAGAUAUCGAGAGGAACACCUGCGGCGAAGGCGGGUUGCUGGGCUGACACUGACGCUGAGGCGCGAAAGCUAGGGGAGCGAACGGG
This 254-nucleotide ribosomal RNA is filed under the name uncultured bacterium. RNAcentral describes it as "partial 16S ribosomal RNA". It matches the Rfam family "Bacterial small subunit ribosomal RNA", at positions 524 to 776 of the family's 1533-position model. The record is from RNAcentral.